RNAcentral lists this transfer RNA (74 nucleotides) under Clostridium sp. OM02-18AC. RNAcentral's name for it is "tRNA-Met". It matches the Rfam family "tRNA". Rfam says of the family: Transfer RNA (tRNA) molecules are approximately 80 nucleotides in length. The record is from RNAcentral. RNAcentral also lists the same sequence under 1 other name. Lineage: Bacteria; Bacillati; Bacillota; Clostridia; Eubacteriales; Clostridiaceae.
UGCGAGGUAGAGCAGUCAGGCAGCUCGCCAGGUUCAUACCCUGGAGGUCGCAGGUUCAAAUCCUGCCUUCGCUA